This 357-nucleotide ribosomal RNA is filed under the name Triticum aestivum (bread wheat). Its description in RNAcentral is "partial small subunit ribosomal RNA". The record is from RNAcentral. Lineage: Eukaryota; Viridiplantae; Streptophyta; Magnoliopsida; Poales; Poaceae.
UUGUCCAGCCAACAAGUACUAAACGUUGAUGCAUCGUUUCAUGUUGAAGAUCAUACAGGCGGGUGUGGAGCAGUAGUAAGAGACAGCCGCGGGAAAUUCAUCGGCGCAUCAACAGCUUAUCUCAUGCAAAUCCCGGAUGUCGUCUCGGCGGAAGCUGCAGCUCUGUUAGAAGGCAUAAAACUUCUCCAAAUCCUAGGUUGCAACAAUGUGAUGCUGAGAAUGGAUAAUAUUGUGGUGGUUGAUGCUCUACGGAUGAAUGAAGGUCAUGCUAUGGUGGCAGCCCCAGUUUUAGAAGAAUGUAGAUUCUUGCUUCGUGAGUUCGGGAAGGUAACUAUUGAGCAUUGUAAUCGAGAGUGA